CGCGUAGGCGGCCCUGGCAGUCGGGUGUGAAAGCCCGGGGCUCAACCCGGAACGGCACACGAUACUCCAGGGCUCGAGGCCGGAAGAGGAGGGUGGAAUACCCAGUGUAGAGGUGAAAUUCGUAGAUAUUGGGUGGAACACCGGUGGCGAAAGCGGCUCUCUGGUCCGGACCUGACGCUGAGGCGCGAAAGCGUGGGGAGCAAACA
RNAcentral lists this ribosomal RNA (206 nucleotides) under uncultured bacterium. RNAcentral describes it as "partial 16S ribosomal RNA". It matches the Rfam family "Bacterial small subunit ribosomal RNA", at positions 568 to 774 of the family's 1533-position model. The record is from RNAcentral.